Megalobrama amblycephala (Wuchang bream) is the source of this 1139-nucleotide long non-coding RNA. RefSeq lists it as uncharacterized. Lineage: Eukaryota; Metazoa; Chordata; Actinopteri; Cypriniformes; Xenocyprididae. The transcript has 3 exons. The record is from RefSeq and is a predicted model, not a curated record.
CUGUUGGAUGUGUUUGUUCAAUUUAGGAGACAAACAGGGUCAAAGCAACAAAGCAAAACAGGACAUCAGGAUUUGCGGAGGCAGCGUGCCAUCUAACCAAGGCUGCAUCUAUGACAACCAGUACAGUGAAAGGACACAACUCAAGCUGGCUGAGAUGAUGACUGGAUGAAGACCAAUGGCAGAGGAUGGAAGACAACAGGACAACAUAAGCAUGCAAGUAACAUGGGUAGAGUCUAUCCUUGUAGUAUUGACGAGACUGCUUUUAGCCCUGGAUUUAACUUGUUGACACUUACAGUAAAUAUCUCAACACACAUGUCAAACACUCGUUUUUAAUACCUGUUAAGUCUUUGGUUCCACCUCAUUUGUCUCUUUUGUUGGGUUAACAUUUUCUGAGCAAGUAAAAUAGCUUUUAACACUUUUGCCUUAUUCAACAAUUCAGAGUAACACUUCAGUUUUACUUGCACUGACCGCAGUGUAUUUUUCUCAAACACAAAAUUUCCCCCUUCAGUACUGUAACAUUGCCAUAAACAUAUUGCUGACAAUCUGAGUGUCUUGCCAAAAGUCAGACUGUGCUGAAAGAUGAAACUGAGAGCCAGAGUUAAACCCGAACCCCCACUCCUGUCUGAGAAGGUCACGUCCAAGACGUAAUAUUUAAGGUACGUCUUUAAGGUAAUAUUUAAGGUACGGCCCGAGGUGCUUUAUGCACAGCAACAGCCCACUGUCAUGUGUUUUCAAACAGACGUACUGAAAAACAAAAAAACUGGUGUGACAGUCAGAGAGAAAGUUAAUUUUGAGUGGAAAUCACUACAAAACCUAUUUUGAACCAGAAAAUCCUGAAAAAAACUAUAAGAUCUACAGUGUAUUAGAUCCAGCUAGCUAACACUAAUGCAAUUCACAUUUACUUCCUGAAACCAAACACUAUAUAUGACUCCUUAUGUCCAACAUAAAUAAAAUAAAUGCAGUAAAUUUCCUUGUUCAAUAUUCAGAGCCAUACCCUUGGGUGAAAUAUUUUUUGUUGGAUAUGGUUAAGUCUCAAUUCAGAAGCACACCAUCAUUCUUGGUACAGGUCACUGAAUGGACAAGCAGGAGCUCUAUUGCUGAAUUAAGUCUUAGAGUUUAAACCAUUUAGAGCAGUGCUU